RNAcentral lists this long non-coding RNA (244 nucleotides) under Parus major (Great Tit). RNAcentral describes it as "lncRNA (ENSPMJG00000018731.1)". Lineage: Eukaryota; Metazoa; Chordata; Aves; Passeriformes; Paridae. The record is from RNAcentral.
CUUUCUUGCUGCCUGAAGCACAACUUCCCUUGGGGCUAAACAAGUUCAAAACAAGAACUGCAAGAAAGGAGAAGUGCCUUCUGUUUGGACAGGUUCAGCCAAUUUCAGGUCAGACUAAGGACUUGAGGAUCCUCAUCACUCUUUCCUUGCAGGUCCAGGUAAUCCCACAGGAGUCUGGCCAAACUCCAUAAAGCUCCAUGGAAGCAGACUGGGACACUUCACUGAGGUGAGGCUGAAACUGGAC